RNAcentral lists this ribosomal RNA (240 nucleotides) under uncultured Lactobacillus sp. RNAcentral describes it as "partial 16S ribosomal RNA". It matches the Rfam family "Bacterial small subunit ribosomal RNA", at positions 122 to 356 of the family's 1533-position model. Lineage: Bacteria; Bacillati; Bacillota; Bacilli; Lactobacillales; Lactobacillaceae. The record is from RNAcentral.
UAACCUGCCCAAGAGAUCGGGAUAACACCUGGAAACAGAUGCUAAUACCGGAUAACAACAGAUGAUGCCUAUCAACUGUUUAAAAGAUGGUUCUGCUAUCACUCUUGGAUGGACCUGCGGUGCAUUAGCUAGUUGGUAGGGUAACGGCCUACCAAGGCGAUGAUGCAUAGCCGAGUUGAGAGACUGAUCGGCCACAUUGGUACUGAGACACGGCCCAAACUCCUACGGGAGGCAGCAGCG